GACUCAGUGGUUCAAUGGUAAAGCGCUCGUUGCGGAGCUAGUGGGUCCUGGGUUUGAUUCCCAACAGGGGUCG
This 73-nucleotide transfer RNA is filed under the name Schistosoma japonicum. Its description in RNAcentral is "tRNA-OTHER". Lineage: Eukaryota; Metazoa; Platyhelminthes; Trematoda; Strigeidida; Schistosomatidae. The record is from RNAcentral.